This 253-nucleotide ribosomal RNA is filed under the name uncultured bacterium. Its description in RNAcentral is "partial 16S ribosomal RNA". It matches the Rfam family "Bacterial small subunit ribosomal RNA", at positions 524 to 776 of the family's 1533-position model. The record is from RNAcentral.
UACGAAGGGGGCUAGCGUUGCUCGGAAUUACUGGGCGUAAAGCGCACGUAGGCGGGUUCUUAAGUCGGUGGUGAAAUCCUGGAGCUCAACUCCAGAACUGCCUUUGAUACUGGGAAGCUUGAGUCCGGGAGAGGUGAGUGGAACUCCGAGUGUAGAGGUGAAAUUCGUAGAUAUUCGGAAGAACACCAGUGGCGAAGGCGGCUCACUGGCCCGGUACUGACGCUGAGGUGCGAAAGCGUGGGGAGCAAACAGG